Molecule: RNA transcript, 3130 nt
Organism: Vespula vulgaris
Lineage: Eukaryota; Metazoa; Arthropoda; Insecta; Hymenoptera; Vespidae
Gene: rept
Gene name: ruvB-like 2
Exons: 9
Source: RefSeq, a predicted model, not a curated record
AAAUUGGCGCUGUAGUCGCAGACGAUUAUUCACGUCAAGUUACUACUCUACAUAUUACGAAUAUAUUUUAUGGAGCAAUGUAGUUUGGUGAAAGAUUCGAAGUUUAAACUGUUGUACUCACGUGUGUAAAGGAUUACCAUGGCGACUGUUGCAGCAACAAAAGUUCAAGAAGUUCGUGAAAUCACAAGAAUUGAGCGUAUUGGUGCUCAUUCUCAUAUUAGAGGUUUAGGAUUAGAUGAUAGUUUGGAACCUCGUCAUGUAUCUCAAGGUAUGGUUGGCCAACUCAUGGCCCGUCGAGCUGCUGGUGUUGUCUUGGAGAUGAUAAAAGAUGGAAAAAUAGCAGGACGUGCUGUCUUAUUAGCAGGUCAACCUGGUACUGGUAAGACUGCCAUUGCCAUGGGAUUAGCUCAAGCGUUAGGAAUUGAUACUCCAUUCACAUCGAUGGCUGGAUCUGAAAUUUAUUCUUUGGAGAUGAGCAAAACAGAAGCAUUGACUCAAGCUAUAAGAAAAUCGAUAGGAGUUAGAAUUAAAGAAGAAACUGAAAUAAUAGAAGGCGAAGUAGUAGAAAUUCAAGUAGAUAGGCCUGCUACAGGAGUUGGUGCAAAAGUUGGAAAAUUGACAUUAAAAACUACAGAGAUGGAAACAAUUUAUGAUUUAGGAAAUAAAAUGAUUGAUAGUUUAAUGAAAGAAAAGGUACAAGCUGGUGACGUUAUCACGAUUGAUAAAGCAACUGGAAAAAUUAAUAAAUUAGGACGUUCAUUUACAAGAGCUCGAGAUUAUGACGCAACAGGAUCACAAACGAGAUUUGUACAGUGUCCAGAGGGCGAAUUACAAAAACGAAAAGAAGUAGUUCAUACUGUUACUUUGCAUGAGGUUGAUGUUAUAAAUAGUAGAACACAUGGUUUCUUAGCAUUGUUUUCCGGCGACACUGGUGAAAUUAAAUCCGAAGUAAGAGAUCAGAUAAAUGCUAAAGUAGCCGAAUGGCGUGAAGAAGGAAAAGCAGAAAUAGUACCAGGAGUAUUAUUUAUUGAUGAAGUCCAUAUGUUAGAUAUUGAAUGUUUUUCCUUUUUAAAUCGUGCAUUAGAAAACGAAAUGGCACCAGUUGUUAUUAUGGCAACAAACAGAGGAAUUACGAGAAUCAGGGGAACUAAUUAUAAAAGUCCUCACGGUAUUCCCAUCGAUUUACUCGAUCGUAUGAUCAUCGUUCCUACAACUCCGUAUCAAGAAAAAGAAUUGAAAGAAAUUUUAAAAAUAAGAUGCGAGGAAGAAGAUUGCGAAAUGGCGGAUGAUGCAUUGACUGUUCUUACAAGAAUUGCUUUGGAAACGUCUUUGAGAUAUGCUAUUCAAUUAAUUACAACCGCAUCUCUUGUCAGUCGACGUAGAAAAAGUACAGAAGUGAGUAUAGACGACGUGAAACGCGUUUAUUCUCUAUUUCUCGAUGAAAAUAGAUCGACACAAUUUCUUAAGGAAUAUCAGGAUGAUUUUAUGUUCAAUGAAUUACCCGAAGAACCUAUGGAAAUUUCGUAACAGUAUGUAUCUUUUUUCAUUUUUCAGCUGAAGAACCUAUGGAAAUUUCGUAACAGUAUGUAUUUUAGUUAAAUUUAUCUAUCGUUUAUAUUAAUUAAGAAUUUUUUAUUUUUAAAUACAGUAUCUUGUUCGUAUCACAUAAAUAUUUAUGGAUUAUGAUAAAUACGAUUUUCACGAUACAAAGUAUUUUAUAUCUCAGAUCCAGUUUCUUUUGAUUUUCUUGCGAUAUUAUUUUGAAUAUAAUUAACAGAUAUUAUAUAUAACAACUUGUCAUAUAUGGUUUCUAAAUUAGAUAGAAACACACAUUAGUAUGUAUCUUUUACAUCCCUGUAAGUUUACAUAUGUAUGUGUACAAAAUUUAAUUGAUUGGAUAUUCAAAAUAUUCGAAAUUAUAUUUACAAGGAUGUAAAAGGGACAAACAUGCUUUUGUACAUUCUCUGUUCGAUAAAUAAAUCUAAAAAUCAUUAACAAAAAUUCUAUUUUGAUUUUAGUUAAUAUAAGAAUAAAACAAACAUAAUUUCUUUUACUGUGUCAUAUAUAAUCCAUUAGUAUGUACAUGUGUGUAUAUAUAAUAUAUACUAAAACAUUAUUCAAAGUAAAAUUAGUUAUUAAAAAGAAAUGUGUUGGAGAUAAAUUAAUUUUUGGUGUAAAGCAUUUAAACUUAUGUUAGAAACGAUCUCAACAAUUUGCGUAGAAUUAUAAUAAGCUCGCUAAAUUACAUUAAAUAUUUAUCUUCACGAAUCAUUUAUUUCUUAUGUAAUCGAUCCAAAUUAGGUUUUCUUUUCUUGACUUUUUUUAACUGAAAGAUUAAAAAAAAACAAAGUUUGUAUAUUAUAAAGAAGAAAAUGAGAUUCAUUAUUUAUUUAUUUAUUUAUUAUUUAUUUAUUCAUUAGGUACUCAAAUACUUACUUGUAAUUAAUUUCACAGUGCCAUCUGGUUUAAACGAGGAUUGAGCUUUCUUAUCUUUUGAUAUAAAACCUAAUCCAUAUUCAACCUUAUAAACUGGCAAUGGGAUUACGGUAGAAGAUACGGGUAUCAUUACUGAAAAUAAAUAAUUAUUAUAUCAAUAAAUAAACGACAAAUGUUUAUUUAUCGAUCGUUUAAGAAAAAGAUCAAGAAAUGUUUUGAAUCGUCGAGUUCGAUACGAGGUUAAUGUGUAUCGCGUGUCUCUGACUUUGUAAAUAAAGCACAACAAAAGAGUAACUUAUACACAAAGAUAUCAGUUCUUCGCUGAUCUCCGUGGACCACGGACGUUAUUUUUGGAGGCCUACACGAGUAUUAAAUAUAUAGGACAGAGAGAGGGAGUACUGUAACCAAAAUAUUACAUAAAGCAAUAAUCGAUAAAUAAAAUCUGGAACAAAACAAUGCACCAUUCUAUAAAUACACAUAAAAAACAAUUAUAGAAACGUAAGAACACAGAGAAGAAUGAAUACUACACUCGCUAGGACGCUAUUCCAAAUAUCUCAACUAUUUUAUUACCGACGAAGCAAUUUCCUUUUUAGUAGAAAAAUCUGAAGAAGAGGGUAUUAACUUUAAAGUACUAAGAAACUCUUAUUGUCCAACGUCUUUCCAUUCCGACUUUUAAUAAAACAUGUCAAACAAU